UAAUUCCUCUGGAAUUCCCCUGAGAAUUCCUCUGGAAUCCCUCUGAGAAUUCCUCUGGAAUCCCUCUGAGAAUUCCUCUGGAAUCCCUCUAAGAAUUUCUCUGGAAUUGCUCUGAGAAUUCCUCUGUAAUUCCUCUGAGAAUUCCUCUGAAAUUCCUCUGAGAAUUCCUCUGAGAAUUCCUCUGAGAAUUCCUCUGAGAAUUCCUCUAAAAUUCCUCUGAAGUUCCUAUGAAAUUCCUCUGAGAAUUCCCAUGAAAUUCCUUUCAUUAUUCCUCUGGAAUCCAUCUGGUUUUCCUCUGGAAUUCUUCUUGGAAUUUCUCUAGAAAUUCCUGGGAAAUUUUCUGGAAUUCCUCUGGGAAACCCUCUGGAAUUACUCUGGGAAUUUCUCUGGAAAUUCUUCUGGAAUUCCUUUGGGAAACCCUCUGGAAUUCCUCUGGGAAACCCUCUGGAAUUCCUCUAUGAUUUCUCCGGGAAUUUCUCUUGAACUCCUCUGGGAGUUCCUCUUGAAUUCCUCUGGAAUUUCCCUUGAAUUCCUCUGGAAUUCCUCUUCAAUUCCUCUGCAAUUUAUCUUGAAUUUCUUUGGAAUUCCUCUGGAAUUCCUCUCUCUGAGAAUUCCUCUGGAAUUCCUCUCUCUGAGAAUUCCUCUGGAAUUCCUCUCUCUGAGAAUUCCUCUGGAAUUCCUCUGAAAAUUCCUCUGAAAUUCCACUGGAUUUCCUCUGGAAAUUCCAUUGGAAUUCCUCUGAAAUUCCUCUGGAAUUUUUAUGGAAAUUUCUCUAGAUUUUCUCUGGGAAUUCCUCAGGAAUUCCUCUGAGAAUUUCUCUGAGAGUUCCUCUGGAAUUCUGCUGGGAAUUCCUCUAGGAAUGCCUUCAGAAUUUCCUUCAAGAAUUUCUCUAGAAAUUCAUCUAGAAAUCAUCUGGGAAUUCCUGUUGGAGUUCCUCUAAGAAUUUCUUUAGGAAUUCUUACGGGAAUUCUUCCCGGAGUUCCUCUUUGAAUUCCUCCGGCAUUUUGCCAUUUUUUUUAAGCAGUGUAAUUCCACAAGCACACACACGCUCUUCACGUCGUCAUCGUCGGGCGCCAUAAAAAUGAACCAUCUUCAAUUGCUCGCCGAAGCAAUUUAUUCAUAAAAAAGGACUUUUCGGGUAAACGAUGUAUGCGAUUUUCAGCCCGUCCGUCGCCAUGUGCGAGGGAAGGUCCUCGGGAGCCAUGUGGCCCACUUCCGGCGCCACACACACACACCGACCGUGUUGAUCCCAGUUGAGCGCGCACAGUGGAAAAAGAUUAGCGACGAUAGCGAUACGGGAUGAAACAUCUGCGUUAGUUGGAAAUUUAUGUCCAUUCUGGUCGGUCUGGCGUCUGUAGGGAUGAUGAUGGCGUUGGUAAUCCUCUCAAGAGCUUCGUGAUCGGAAUGAUCGCCAUCAUCAACCGGUUGGUUGUUGCUGGCUGGCGGUAGUGAGUGGCUAUAAAAAGGAAAGGUACUUCUCGUGCGGUUGCAUUCCACUUGCAUCAUCGACAUCCCUAAUGCCUUUCGCUACCACCAGCACCACGUUCGUUCUGGAAGACAUAUGUCGACUAGUUAUAUCCCGCACAGUCGUCGGUCGUCGGUUGGAUACGUCUGAAUUAUAGACACCAACCAGUGGAAUAUAAAUAGGAAAAAUGCAAUCCCUCAUAUCGCAUGCUACACCGCAGACAGUCAGUGAACAGCGAGCAAUUCGAUGCUACGGGUGGAUCCGGUGGUGGAUAUACUACUUCAUGGUCUACAUUCCGCAAACACUUCAGCCGUACUACUAGAGCACUCGUCGUCGCAUGUGAGUUCGACGGGAUGAAGCGAUGAGGCUAUUCGUUUCGAGUUUUGAUUGAACUGUACAGUCAAGCACAGAAGUGGAUUUGAUUGGGGGAAAAUAUUUACUUAAUAUACAUUGAAAUGUGUACAUGCAAACAGAUAAUGACAGAUUCUUUCAGUUAUUUCUUAUGAAUGCCGUUUUCACUGGAGUGUGGCUAUUUCUUCGAUUCCUUCGUAAGCUAUAGGGUUUUUAAGUCGUUUUAAAUAAUUGGGAAUAGAAGUCAAAUUGUCAAUGAAUUCUACCUGAUUUCCAGCUGAUGUUACAGAACAAUUUUAUAAACUGAGCUUCCCGGCCGGAUUAAGGCCUGAGUGUCCUGUGCUGUACGGCAUGGGAGGGUAUGUGUCUCCAGUUCUGCACUCUGCGAAGGGUCCGCAAAUCGUCUUCCACUUGAUCGACCCACCUAGCUCGCACGGCACCACAUCUUCUUGUACUGGUCGGAUGACCCACCAAAACCAUUUUAGUCGGGUUGCUAUCCAACAUCCUGAUGAUGUGGCCCGCCCAACGUAGCCUCCCGAUUUUCGAGGUGUAGAUGAUGGCUGGUUCUUUCAGCAGCUGAUGCAGCUCGUGGUUGAUUCGCAUUCUGCUAGUCCCGUCUACCAUCUGCACUCCGCCACUCCGCAACACCUUCUGUUCGAAAACUCCAAGGGCGCGUUGGUCCUCUGCACGUAGGGUCCAUGCUUCGUGCCCAUAGAGGACUACCGGUUGAAAAAGCGUAUUGUAGAUAGUUAACUUCGUGUUACGGCGAUCGAAUAAAUCGUAGAGUUCUGCGGAGUCCAAAGUAAGCUCGAUUUCCUGCCAUAAUGCGCCUCUGAAUUUAUCUGCUGGUGUCGUUGUUGGCGGUCACCAGUGAGCCCAAGUACACGAAUUCUUCAACCGCCUCGAUUUCAUCAGCGUCGAUAGAACUAAUCGCAAACGGAGCCUGUGGAGUACCAGGGCACCCUCCACAGUAUUUGCCCUUACUGUGCUAACCGGAGCAAUAGCGCGAUGGACCUUGUAUUUCUCCUAGACAAUGAGGUGCCCUUCUUCAAUAUCAUACUUGAGGCUGAAUUAGGGCGGGAUUAUGAAGAUGUUAUUAAUUAGUUUAAAUUUUCACCUAUAUGGUUUCGCAUUAUGCGUUUUUCACAGUGUAUUCUGUGUGGUGCUGUUCUUUUUUGUGCUGUGAUUGUUAAGAGUUUAAUCUUACCUAGUUUGGGUAAUGGCUACGGUUAGGAUAGCUCAGAUCAAUCUUCAGCACAAAAGAACAGCAACGAUCAAUCUUUGUAGACUUAUGCAAAAUGGUACAGCCCAAGUGGCGUUAGUCCAAGAACCUUACUUUCGUAAGGGGAAUUUCUAUCUAGGAAAUCUUGUGAAUCCGGUGUUUGCUACUUUCAGUAAAAAUGAAAUGGCUAACUCACGUGUCAUGCCUCGAGCAUGUGUGCUUGUCAACAACGCAAUCGUUGCUAUACUCAUCUUUAAACUAACUACUAGAGAUGUAUGUGCUAUCACAAUCGAUGUAUCUGUUGGAAGCCUCAACAGGAAAUACGUUUAUUAUUCGGUUUAUUUACCGCAUGAUGAACCAUCCCCAACGGAUGCUUUCAAGCAAGUCAUUGCAUAUUGCACUUCAAAAGGCCUUCCGCUUAUUGUUGGAAGUGAUGCUAAUGCUCACCAUAUCAUCUGGGGCAGCUCAGACAUUAAUUUGAGAGGCUCCAGUUUGAUGGAAUAGUUAAGUAGUACAGAUCUUAGAUUACUUAACAAAGCAACCGCCCAUCCUCCAUGGUAUCUGCUAGAGAGGAAGUGUUAGACAUAACCCUUUGCUCUAGUAGAAUUAGCCACGAGCUGACCAAUUGGCAUGUGUCAGAUGAAAAAUCUUUAUCUGACCAUCGCUACAUCUUGUUUGAACAUGCAAACUUUGCGUUUCAGGAACCCCCGGUCAACCAACUGGAAUCUCUUUACCGAUUUGGUUGCAGCCAAAUUUCAUGGAUAUUCACCAUCAAUUGACACUCCAAGUGAUUUCAUUGAUACUACAACGGCCUUCAUCAUGGAAGCUUUUGAAGAAGCAUGCCCCUGCGGUCUGGGAAGACCACAAGAGGAACCCCUUGGUGGACCUCCUAUCUGGCGAAGCUCAGGAAACAAUGUAGAAAGAGUUGGAAUAGACGACGUUCGGCUGGAUCGGAGGCUUUCAAGUCGGCUCGCAAGGGCUACCAGAAAGCUUUUCGGUCUGCUGAACGAUCCGGCAGGAAAAACCUUUAAACAAAUGUUUCCAGUCUGAGUGAAGCCAGUCGAUUGAACAAAAUCUAAGGAUUUUCAAGUGAACGAACUUCGUUUGCCAAAUGGUGAUUUCACUUCCUCUGAUGAGGAAGCUUUGAAAUGUUUACUCAGUACACACUUCCCCGGAUGUGUGGAUAUUACAUCUUCGGAUGAACCUGAUGUCUUUUCUUGUAGUUAUGAUUCUUUAGCUUCGGCUCGGAGUAUCAUAACUUUAGAAUCGAUUGAAUGGGCACUUAAUAGCUUUGCUCCUUUCAAAUCACGUGGGGCAGAUGGGAUUUAUCCUAUUUUGGUUCAGAAGGGAUUUGAUCAUUUCAAACAUGUUUUGAAACAACUACUUGUUUGCAGUUUUGCUACAGGGUAUAUUCCCAAAUCCUGGCGGGAUAUUACUGUAAAGUUUAUUCCGAAAGUGGGUCGUGCGUCGUAUGAAGAAGCAAAGAGCUUCAGACCUAUCAGUUUGACCUCUUUUCUUCUGAAAUGCUUAGAACGCAUUGUCGAUCGUCACAUCCGUGAUGUUCAUCUGGCCAAUGUGCCUCUUCAUGUGAACCAACAUGUUUACCAAACUGGAAAGUCCACUGUGACUCUUUUACAUAAAGUUGUUUACGAUGUCGAGAAGGCAUUCGCUGAAAAGCAUUCCUGCUUGGGUGUUUUCUUAGAUAUCGAGGGUGCCUUUGACAACGUGCCUUUCGAUGCCAUAUUGGAAGCCGCUCGGGGUCAUGGUUGUAACUAAUGGCGGUUAGGCCACAGCUACCGUUGGCUGAGGAGAGGGUCAUAGAAGGUGAUCCUUCUCAGCGGCUAACGAGACUCUGUAUUUACACUCAAUCACAGGGUCGGCACGCUUAUCCUACUAUUUCGCGGAUUCAGGAAAACACUUGGAUUGCCUUUUCACACUCCUGUUUAUUGGCUAACUUUUGUGCACUUUCUGUCUAUCUUCUAGCUAUCUACCUUCACCCUACUCUACCCACUUUCUUAUUUUAAUCUGACCUUCUUUCUUCGGGGCCCCUUUCUCCUGCUGCCGCCAUCAUCCACCGAUCCUCUUCUUCAUCGUCCUUCCUCUUCUCCCAUGUCCGUUGCGACUUUUGCCGCCCAAUCGAACCGGAGUGUCUGCGACCGCUGGAGAACGGGCCUCAGGUUGGUCCUCGGCCUGGAGUAGCGAAUGGCCGGAUCUUCAUCUGCCCAAGUCUUCGCCGGAUGUCUUCACGGCGGAGGGUGACCCAUCCUAGGGUUAGGGUUCACCUCUUGCUUUGUGGUAAAACCAUGGUAAUACUACGGAGUUCUGUGUAGGGGGGGGGGGGGUAUUCCAGUUAUUAUAUAAUUUAGCGAAUCAUCUAGAUUUAGCUUUUACCUGUGUCCUUAGAUUCCUACACACACAAUAGACACACAGUGGACACUUCGCAUCGAACUUCACUAGUGUCGAUCACUUGGGCAAAAUGGCCGUUUCUUCGAUCAAUCCAAGAUCUCCAAGAUCAUAAUGGCCUUCCUUCGCUACCACCGUCUACGUCCAUGUUUCAGACAAGGCAGAGUCAUCUGGUGGCUAAUGUGGCAGGAUGAUGGUAGCUGCUAUUUAUGGCUGCGUCCUUUUCGGGUGACCAGUAACACAGAGUGGAAACACACAACACAAACACUUUCCUGAAUUUAAUUUAACAAACAGACGAAUACUAUUCUAGACCGCGACAAACUCUCACAAACCUACUGAGGGGGUACUACAAACCGUUACAUGGUAUAUCACCAAUGAUUUCCAAUUGGAUUCACCAAAUGCUCAAAAACCGAUAUCUCUUCUCGACAUUGCGUCUAGCAGGGAUUAGGAAAUUGAGUGUUUGUGGAUGCCCCCAAGGGGGAGUCUUAUCACCGCUUUUGUGGAAUCUCGUAGCAGAUACGCUAUUGAGGCAACUCAAUAAUAGCGGUUUUCCUACUUAUGGUUUUGCUGACGACUACCUAACAUUGUUAGUCGGUAUGUGCAUCAGCACCCUUUUUGACCUGAUGCAAAGCUCCCUUCAGGUAGUUUGAGGGUAAAACAUCUAUUGUUUUUUUUUCACGGAAAAGCGAAACCGUAAUGGUGUUCGACCUUUGAUUCUGAAAUCAAUGUGACUGAACAGGUAAAGUACGUUGGAGUCAUUCUUGAUUCCAAGCUUUCCUUUACACCUCAUGUUGAGUUCAGAAUCAAGAAAGCUUGUAUGGCCUUCAGGCAAUGCCGACGAACCUUUGAUACAACUUGGGGUCUUAAACCCAAGUAAAUCAAAUGGAUUUACACAGCUGUUGUUCGUCCAAUAUUGGCUUAUGGAUGUCUUGUGAGGUGGCAAAAGGACGAAGUGAGAACGGUCCCAUUAAAAUUAGGUUAUCUCCAAAGGAUGUGCGUUCUCUUCAACUCCUACGGCAGCGCCCGCAGUUCUCUUUGACGUUGCCCCACUACACAUUCAUCGCAAACAAGAAGCACUUUCUUGCACAUACCGUCUAUGGGUACUCGGUUUUCUAAAGGAAACUCCUGUGAACCGCAGUUCAACACACACCACGUUGUUUCCACUUAUGGUGAAUUGGGACAAAGUUGUCUUUACUCCAAGUGAUCUUACAAUUGCUUGUAAUUUUCCAUAUAGGUCAUUUUCCACGAAAUUCCCUUCCCGGGAAUUUCAGACGGCAUCGUAUGUUACACUGAUGGCUUCUUUCUCGAAGGUCGAGCAGAAAUUUCUCCAGGGACUGACUUAAGAAAUUUUCAUUAGCGAUUCAUCUAGAGUCUAGGAAUUUUUCAAAUAAGAGUUUAAUGAAAUAUUGUAAAAUCUGAAUCAAUCUGUUUCAAAAAUGUAUCCAUCACGUUUUUCAAAAAAAUCUGUUAAGAUUCAUCCUGAUUUUUUUUUUUCAAGUACAGGUCGGACUUGAUUACCCGGAGUCGGGUUCUGGCGCUUCCCGAAAUAAUAUCUCGCAAACGGAAUGCUGCAAGAAGCUGAAGUUUUGACUGAUCACAAAUCAAAGUAGGUUUGACAACAUGUCAAAAUUUCAGCUUUAUGGAGCAUUUUGUUUCCCAGAUAUAUGUUUAAAAAGCAACCGAACCUGACUGAAUCGAGUCCGAUCUGUAUUUCAUUAUGAAAUUUUCCACGGGUUCCUUGAAAAAUCAUUCAAGGUUUAUUUCAAAAAAAAUUUCAGCGAUUUUUGCCACUCCCAGCGAAUUCUCAAUUUACCCUGAGUGAUUAUUUUAUAAAAUCAUCCAUGGCUUGCUUCAUAAAUUUCUUCAAAAAUGUUUCAGAAAUUCCUCCACAUAAAUUUACAAGGAUUUACCAAAAGAAUCAUCCAAAAUUCUCUACUAGAUUCCUUCGGAAAGCUUCCAUAGAUUUUCUCCGCAAUUUCUCAUUGUAUUGCCUUGGAAACUCCUCCAGGAAUUUCUUUAAAAAUUCACUCUUUUCUGAGUGUUUUUUGUGGAUAAUCUUUCACGGAAAUCCAUUUCAGAACUCUUUCAGAAAUCCAUCCACGAUUUUUUUUAUAAAAUCUUCCAUAGAUUCCUUCAAAAGCUUCCACGCAUUCUAUUAGAAUUACCUCUACGGAUUGGGGUCUCCAGUUAGCCUAGUGGUUAAGGCUUUGGAUCGCCAAUCCGGAGACGGCGGGUUCGAUUCCCGUUCCAGUCGGGAAAAUUUUCUCGACUUCCUGGGCAUAGAGUAUCAUUGUGCCUGCCACACAAUGUACAAAUUCAUGUAAUGGCAUGCAAAGAAAGCCCUCCAAUUAAUAACUGUGGAAGUGCUCAAAGAACACUUAAUUGAAGCGAGGCAGGCCAAGUCCCAGUGGGGACUUAGAGCCAUAAAGAAGAAGAAGAAGAACCUCUACGGAUUCUUGAAGAAAGCUACCACUUACUUCUUCAGAAAUUCCUCUUCAGAAAGUCAUAUUUCUUUCAUUAAAUUCUCCAAAGUUUCCAUCAGAAAUUCUCUCAGGGAUGCCGUAAGAAAAUAUUGCAGGGAUUUUUAUACGAAAUUCAUCAAAAGAUUCCAUCACUAAUACUUUCAGGUAUUUCAUUAGAAAUUCCUGUAAGAAUUGCUUAUGAAAUUUCUUAGACAAUUUGUUUCAUGGAUUUCUUUGGGAAUUCCUCUAGGAAUUCCUUCUGAUGAGACCUUCUUUUAAAGCAUUCUCUGAUGCACUCUUUCAGAAACUCCUCCAAAAGUUCUUUUAGAGAGUUUUUCAUGGAUUCUUUCAGAAAAUUUCCUGGAUUUUUUUUUCCCAGGAUUUCAAUCGGGAUCUUGAGCUACACGUUAUGCAAAAUAGGCAACUUUGGUACCUCAAUAUACUCUGGAAUAACUCCAGCACCAUGCGGACCAAGUCCCCAUGGCCCAAGGUCCAUAAACAAGAAGGGUUUUUUUGGGAAAUUUCUAAAAUUCCAUCAACAUCCGUCUAAAGAUUAAAAAUUAUAUUUUUUAGCUUUUCCGUAGUUGCAAAAUGUAUGUAGCUGGAUGUAGCCUUAUGGCACAAUUAUCCUAUUGAUUUUAACCCUAAAAGGGAUACCUUCAUGGCCUCAGUUUCGUCACCUCGCUGAGUGUGUUCCAUCAAAGACGAGCUCUGAAAGGCGCCUUUUAGGGUUAAAAUAGUAUUGCUGUCACUUUUCUUGUUUGUGGGCUUCGUGGGCGAGCAGUUAGCGGCGUCAGUCGUUCAGGUGUCUCGUAAUCCUCGGAGUGUCGGUUCGAUUCCCGCUCCAGCCGGGGAAAACUUUUCGGCAAACGUAAAUUUCUCCACUGGGCCACUGGGUGUUAUGUGUUGUCCGUUGUCGAAUGUUAGUAAUGUUUAGUCUGUGCGGCCUCUGGCCGAAGACGGUGCAAUUGUCUUAAAAAAGGCUGGUUAAGAGAAUAAAAACGGUGACAGAAUCGACGUUAGAUAAUAUCGUGGACUGACUUAAUUGAGUCAUCAAAACAGCUUUUCGACUGGUGUGACCAAGUGACAAACCAUUGCCGUCAAAGCACUUGAAGAUAAAAACUUUCCUGUUCAUGGUACUGCGAUCUACGCAUUGAUGUUUCGAUAUCAGAAAUUUAGUAAAACACCCCGAGCAGAGGAGAAUAUCAAAAUAAUAACAACUGAAUCACAAAAUCUGUUUUUAUAUCUUGGUUUGUUAUUAAUAACUUAUUGAGGCAUAACUUUUCCAUAACAGGUUUUGUUGGGCAAUCUUAUUUUGUUAUGAUCCUGCUAUUGGUAUAUUUUCUAUAAAUAACAUUUUAAUAAGAUGUUUUAUUGUAGAACAAGUUCUGUUAUUAUUGAAUUAUUGAGAGUGCACCAUUAUUUGAUCAUCAAUAGCACAACAAUAAAGUUUUGCAAUCACAACAACACCAUGCGAGAUUUACAGCAAAAGAAAUGAAAAAGUUAAAAUUUGCUGGCUCCCAUAAAAAAAAACAUGUUUUGAGUCUGUGAGCCAUAUUUUCGGUGUCCAUGAAUCGGUUAAGCUGAACUUUUGACACGGAACUAAGAAUUACUUGUAAUUUUUAUUUCUAAUUAGUUCGAUCCAUUUCAGUGGAAAAAAUGCAGAAUUUCUGUUGAUUCUAUUUUGGAAAUAAAAAAGUGAACAACCCCGAUCCACCAUAACUCAUAAGCAAAAAUAAUUUUUGAAAUUAUCUCAAGGCCGAUUGGCCCAGGUAGACUGGAAGCGUGCUAUUAAACUUUUUAAUUUCAAAAUUUGUUAUUGAAACAUUGUAUAAAUUCACUGUUAUUAAGUUGUUAUGAAACUAUCAAAACCUUUUAUUUAAAUGGUCUUCCAGGAACAUUUUUUGUUAUGAUUUUUGUUAUUUUGCCGCUUAUGACAGACAAGUUUAUAACAUGGUAUGUUAUGUUAAUAACAUGAAAAUAGCUCUUUGCGUUACUCAGUUUUUUUUUGGCAAACACAUUUUGUUAUGCUGUUGGUAUUUUCUUCUGCUCGGGACCUAAAGCACGAAAAUUAGCACGAAGGUUCUGCUGAUAGCUGAUCCACACCAAGUGGAUGACUGUCAAUCCACUGGAUUGUUUUGUAUUCGUAACAGAAGACACUGAUAAAAGUUCAUCCUCUGACUGUUUCCGCCCGAAGGUCCUAGCAGUGGAUGGGCUGAUAAUGUUACAGGAUGACAUCAUCUACCCCGAAAUGAGAAGGCACCCAUUUUACCGAUUUGGUUGCAUGGUGACAAGAUAAGAGAGGUGAAAGGUAGAAAACUUUGUCAACCCUUUUCUAUAUUUGUAGUGGAUAUCUCGGUUGAUUCAGUUUUCGUUUUUCGAAAUGUAAGUGAGGUACGGCUAGGGGUUCAUCUGAAAUGAAAUUAGAAGAACAGACUGAUCCCCACUCACAAAGAGAUAAGACAAGUCAUGAUUGCCUGUCAGGCCCAGAAGGCUUCGGGUCCAAAAUAACAUUAGUUCUAGUAAUGAAGGGUUCAAACAUGUAGCACAAAUUGAUACAUUUUAGAAUCUGAUGUACCGUUUCAAAGACGAUUUAAACGUACUUUAAACUUGCUUCUCCGCUACACAUUGUUCCAGUGGACGAAACUUGUUUCCAAACAGCGCAGCCAACGGAAGCCAGCCAGUGCGCUCGCUCUGUCUAAACCGCGCCACUUAAUUAUUUUGUUGGCGUUACUUGUAGCAAAACCUCCCUGCAAACGGCGCACUGAACCGUGAUGCAAAGCUGAUUGCUUCGAAAUUCAAUUUUCCAGCAUCCAGUUGACCGGCACACAAUUGAAACUCGUACACAAAAGCGGUUAUCGCACACUAAGCACAUCCAUUGUUUUGCUGCCUCCCAGAACCUGCGCGACCGUUCAGUGGCAGCAACACUCUGGUCCCCCUUCGUCUACCUCUAAUAUAAUGAGACUGCCCCAUGGUACGGUUCCGGAUAGGCCACCAGCCAGCAUCAGAAUCAUCAUCAGCAUCAGCUCCGGCACUACUCCGACCGACCAGCCAGCAUCACCCGGACCCGAGCAACGGCUAGUGAACGAGUUUUGCAUUCAAUAGAGCUGUGAUACAACACCGUGUUACACGUACACAUAACAAAAGCCGAAUGAAGUGACCGUAAACCGCGCUCGUUGGCCAACCAACCUUCGCUGGUUGGUUGCGGUGCGGCGCGCUGAAUAGUGUGUCUAAACAGCAAAAGGGCUUUUUGGUUCUGUUGAUUGGAACAAAAUGGAUAGCGCGCUUUUCAUCCGCGUGCUCCAAGCUGCCGAGGCGAGAUUGAAGCCAGUUGUCGGUGGUGUUACAAAUAAUUCCAUUGUAGACCUCAGUUGCUGCCUGCAUUCAACAGAUGAUGGGAAAUGAAUGCUUGGCACAACAUUUUUAUCACAUAUUUCUAAACACCCCACAUCGUAUUAAAACACUUCCGCUUUUACGGGCUUACGGUGGAAUUUGCAACUGUUAAUUCACUGCAGUUGAUAUUUAGUGGUUUGAAAUGGAUUACUGAAAAAGUGGAACUCUUCGUUCCGUCACUACUGGGGAUUUACAUAAAUGUGUGUACCGUGGAACAAGUGAUUUCUUCAGAAUUUUCCCAACUGAAUAUUUUAGAAAAUCUUGUAUGGAUUUCCCGAGAAAUUUCUCCGUGAAUUUCGUCUGAAAUUAUUUAGAGAUUUCGUAAGAAAUUCUUAGAAGUUUCUCGAACUAUGAAUUCAUUCAUGGAUUUCCUCAAAAAUUCCUCCACACGUUCCUUAAAAAAUCUCCCAAGAAAUCUUUCAAAAUAUUAGCUAGGGAUCCACGUGGUGAAUUUAAAUUUCAUUCACGCUGUGGAAAGUUGCCUUCACAGCUCGCUCACGACUUUGGUAUGCGUGUGCGACCCCAAUGUUAUUCGGCAAACUUUCAGAUUAAACUACAAGGUUAAAUUUAUCCAUACAUUGUUUUUCGAUAGCAUGCUUCUGAACUGAGAUAAUAGCAAAUGAAUGUAAAUCUUUGCAAAUGAAUGGUCGCACCCUUGACUAAUUCUUUAAGAAUUAUUUCAGAAAUUGCUUCAGUGUUUAAUUCAGGGAUUCUUCUGUCAGGGAUUCUUUGAGAUUUUUUUCAGGUAUUGCUCCAGAUUAUCCCUUUGAGAAGUUUUCCAUGGAUUCCAUAUGAAACUCUGCCAUCGAUUACUUAACCAAUUCUCCUAGAGAUUCCUUUAUAAAAUCCAUGAAAGAUUACUUCAAAAACUCUUUCAAGCAUUCUGUCAGAAAUCCUUCCAUCGAUGUCUUACAGGAACUCGUACAGGGAAAGUGUUGUGAACUCCUCUAGAGAAUUCUUAAGAAACUUUCCAGGGAUUCUACUGGAAAUUCCUACAGGAUUUCUCCAGAACUUUUUUCUAGAAAAUCAUGCAGAAAAUCCUCCAAAGAUUGUUGCAUUAUUACUUUCAGUUAUUCCCGCAGGAUUAUUCCUACAGAAAAUCAGACAAAGAUUGCCUUAAUAGUUUCUCCGUGUAUUCCUCCAUGUGCUUUCAAAAAAUUUCACGAAUUUUUUUUAAAGGAUACCUCUAGGAAAUUCUCUACUUUUUUCAAGGAAUUCUUUUGGAAAUUUCUCCAGAAAUAUUGUCUGAGAAUUCCUACAGGAAUUUCUAAAAAAAAAUUGAAAGUGAUUCUACCGGGAACUUUUGAAAAAGUUAUUCUAGGUUUUUCUGCAGAUAUUCCUGAAAUACUUGAGAAAUACGUUCACUCCGGGAAUACUUUCGGAAAAUCCUUCGAAAAUUUAUGUAAGGAAUUCUCCUGGUAUUGUUUCAAAAAUUUCCUAAUAAUAUCUUAUACGAAAUCCAACAAAUAUUUUUCGAGAAGUUUCUCCUGAUAUUCUUCUAUGAAUUCAUUUUUUUUUUCGUUUUCUACAGGAUUCUGGGAUUCUUCCAGAGAUUCUUUAAAGAAUUCCUCCAGAUAUUUCUUCAGGAGCUCGACAGGAUAUUUCUUUCAACCUUCCUUUAGGGAUUUUUUUUCGGAGCUAUCAAAUUUCUUCUGAAAUUUAUUCAGUAGUUCUGUCAGAAAUAUCACCAGGGACUCCUCCAAUAUCUUAAGGAUUUCUUCAGAAAUUUCAGUAAGGGACUCAUUGAAUAGUUAUCCCGAUUUUUUGAUUCAAAAAUUUCUAUAACAAUUCCUUUAAAAAUCCUCCAGCUAAUCUGAAAGUUAUCCAAUAAUUAUUGCAGAAAUUCCUGCAGAAAAUCUUACAAAGAUUUAUUUCAAAACCGCUGCUGUGUUUCCAUUUAUAUUUCUCCUAGGAUACCUUCAGAGAUUUUUACAGGAAUUCUUGAAGAUAUUUCUCUAGAGUUUUUUUUUUUGAAGUUCUUCCAGAAACUGCAUGUACUAUUUAUAUAGAGAAAUUCUUGAAAAAAGUUAAAAAGAUUCCCUGGAAGAACUUAUGCAGAUAGUUUAAUAGAUUUCUAGAAGAAAUUCUAGAAAACUUUCUGUAAAGAUUCCUGGACAAGAUCAUCAGAAGCAAUUUCUAUCUUAAGGCGAAACUGGAAGCAUUUCCUCAUAUUUUUGGUUUUUGAUUUUUUAUAAAUUAACGAAGGAAUAUUUUCAAAAUCGGUUUUCGUACACAUGUAGAGUAUGGAUCAACGUGUCUCCUGAAUUUUUCCCAGGUGGAAAAUGUUUUUCGUUUUUGCAGAAACCAUUUUCACGUGAAAUUUUGUAUAAAAAUGGUUUUUACAAAAACGAAAAACAUUUUUCACCAGGGAAAAAUUCUGGAGAUACCUUGAUCCAUACUCUACAUGUGUACGAAAACCGAUUUUGAAAAUAUUGCUUCGUUAUUUUAUUAAAAAUCAAAAACCAAAAAGUGAGGAAAUGGAUCCAGUUUCGCCUUAAGUUAAUUUUGGAGGAUUUCCAGUAGGAAUCCCUAACAGAAUACCUGAUGCAUCUCAUUGAGAUACUUCUGAAGGACAGCUUAGAAGAAUUUCGUGAGAAACUUCUGGAGGAACUCUGGAAGUAAUUUCGAGUAAAAAUGCCUGGAAAGUAUCGGGAGGAAGACAGAAAUUUAAAAGAGAAAUUAAUAGACAAAUUUUUGAAUGAAUUUUUAAGGGAUUUCUUAAGGACGCUCUCAAAUAAUUCCAAAACAUUUCUGCUUUAAUUCAUGCGAAAGUUCCAGACAAAAUUAAUAAAAAAAAUCUCUGAAUAAAUUUCUGAAGGGAUUUUUGGGAAAUUUUCUGAAGAAAUCUUUAGAAGAACUCUUACAGACACAUAUCUGUCAAAUUUAUUAUUUCAAACUUAUUGUUGCUCUUCAUGAAGCUUUGAAAACCACCAUAACUUAAAAGAUAAGUUAAAAGACGUAUGUAUAACAAUUAUCUAAAGGUUGUGGUAAAACAGUUGGAUUUAUUAGAAUUUUUUUUUAAAUUGCCGGGAAAACUGCUAACGGAGCCAUCAUACAGUAGAAUGGUUUCCAGGGAUUUAAGACAUCAGGGAAAUUUUUUUGAUUUUAAAAAGGUUAUUGUGUCGUUGUUCAUUUAGAGUAUUUUUUUUUUCAGGAAUUGCGAUGCAAUUUGUAAUAAGAUUGCUUAAUUUUUUUUUUUAAUUUUGAAGCAAUUGAGAUAUUUCCUGAAAAUCGCAACCAAUAUCUUUCCAAGAUAAUUUUUUAAAAACACAGAGAAACAUCUGUUGGAAUUCUGAAAUAUUCUUGCGAAGCCUGAAAUAAAUAGUAAAUGAUUAAAAACAUCUCAAAAAAAUCUUGCAGUAAACCAAAGAUGAUUACUGCUGCGGAUUAUCAAGAAAUCAUCUGAAAAAAAAAAGACUGAUGUUGUUGAAAAAAAUCGCAGGAAAUAUGCGGUUUAAGGAAUUAUUCCUAGGAUUUUUUUUAGGGACCACAAUUUGUAUUAGAAGUAGCUUCGGAAAUUUCUAUAAAUAAUGCUUUAGGAACCUUCAUCAUAAGGCUCCCUAAAAAAUGUUUAUUAAUGCAUAUGAAUAUCUUUCUAUGAAUGUAUCGGAAAUAAAUUGAGUUCCGAAUAAUAGGAAGCAAUCAGUGAAGUACUAGAUUGAAAGUAGUGAGCUGGAUUUUUGUAUGGUGAGAUGAUCAGUUCUCCGUUUCUGCCAUGAAAUGGUGUAAACAGCGUGGGUUAUAUGAUUCCUUGCCUAAUUUGAUGCUAUUUGAGCAAAAGUUUGGGUAACUGUGUUGUUGAAGUUGCAAGAAAUAAAUAAUACAACAACACAGUUACCCAAACUUUUGCUCAAACAGCAUCAAAUUAGGCAAGAAAUCAUAUAACCCAAGCUGUUUGCACCAUUUCAUUGCAGAAACGGAGAACUGAUCAUCUCACCAUACAAAAAUCCAGCUCACUACUUUCAAUCUAGCACUUCACUGAUUGCUUCCUAUUAUUCGGAACUCAAUUUAUUUCCGAUACAUUCAUAGAAAGAUAUUCAUAUGCAUUAAUAAACAAUUUUUAGGGAGCCUUAUGAUGAAGGUUCCUAAAGCAUUAUUUAUAGAAAUUUCCGAAGCUACUUCUAAUACAAAUUGUGGUCCCUAAAAAAAUCCUAGGAAUAAUUCCUUAAACCGCAUAUUUCCUGCGAUUUUUUUCAACAACAUCAGUCUUUUUUUUCAGAUGAUUUCUUGAUAACCCGCAGCAGUAAUCAUCUUUGGUUUACUGCAAGAUUUUUUUGAGAUGUUUUUAAUCAUUUAUGGCGCGGAACGCAAAAGAAGAAUUCUUCUAAAGUAUUAUAAGGAAAACAAUCACAGAUUCUUCUAGAUAGCUUUUCGAAUUCCAAAGAAUGUAUUCAAACCAUCUUGCGACAAUUUUGGACAAUAUACUGCUAUUAUUUACUCUAAAAUUUCCAUAAAUUGCAACACUUUGACAGAUUUUUUUUCAGAACAAAAUGCUGAAAAAAGCACCUGGCCUGCUUUCGCAAAUGUUUGAGUAUUCCUAAAAGAUUUUAGGAAAUUUUAUUAUGUUAAGACUUUCUUCUGGAAUUUUUGUAGUAAUUCUGUGCUACAGAAACUUCUUUCAAAGCUAUUCAGUUUUUUCUCUCAAAACAAGAGCCAAAACUCGAUCCAAUUUGCCUUAGGAAGUAAUCUUCUGUAAAUACUACGGCUAUCUUUUCAAGUUUUUAUCAUAGAGCAUAAAAAAUUGAGUUUCUAAGAUUGUAAUCUAAACCCAGUAAUUUCUCUUCUGGUAUUCAUACAGUAUGACCCAUAAAAAAAUGUGACAGUUUUCAAAGUCAUCGUUCCCCUACUUCGAACUGAUCAACAUUGCAUGUAUCUAUUGGAUAGUAUAGUAGAAUCUGAUAAUGGCAAAGGAACAUAGACUGAUUUCAUUCACAUACCUUUACAAAGAUAACGUUGUACAUGGAUGUCGAAAUCGUCCACGCGCCUUAGGCCGUUUUUUAAUGAUAUAAUUUUCUUUGAAUUGCUUUCAAUCCCAUUCAAUCAAAUUUCAUUUCUUGAUCUUCAUCUUCUUCAAACUUGAUUUUUUUUUUUGAAAUUGUUAACAAUUCUAAGGUAUCCCAUAAAUGUACGUAAUUAACGAAUAUUUUGACAAUAGUUUUAGAGAUCCUGUAUGAUAAUGACCUCCUGAUUGAAUCCUAAUCCAGAAAAGUUUAAUUCAUUAGGAUUCUUUUAUUAAUAAUACCGCAAAAAAAUGGAACGUCCCUUUUUUUCUGGGCCAUACUGUAGAAUGUUUUUAAUGAUAUUUUCAUGCAAACUAUCGGGAAUUUCACUAAAAACAUACAAGCCAGAAAUGCAGGUUCCUUGAGGGUUCAUUAUAAGGAAUUUUAACAAACGUAUCUCAGGAUAUGAGAACUUGAUUAUAUUUUUUUCCAAUAAUUCUUUACAAAUUUCACUUGGAUUUUGAGAAAAUGAAAGAACUCGUAUAAUUUUCUCGACGGGUUCAUUUACAUAAUAAAGCGAUCCUCAAUGAAUCACCUUCAGGAAAAAACAAUAAUUUAUCAUUUGUACAGCAAAAAAAGCGUCGCAGCAUCAGCGAAAUAAUCGGAAAAAAAGCCUGUAUCCGAAAUAAUCGGGACAUAGAAAUACAACUGUAACUCUGCAAUAGAUACUUUAAAACUGCUCAAAUUUGGCCUAAGAACAUCUUAAGAUGUGUUCAUUUCACCUACAAAAUUUCAUGUGAAUCGGUGCAGUACUUUUUGUUGUAGCAAUGAAAGAGUAUAAUGUGCGCCAUUGAAUUUUGUACAGCCCCUAGUUUUGCUUGUCAGCACUGUAACUUUUGAAUUUGGCAAAGGAAAUGGCUGAAAUUUUGAACACAAACCUCUCAACCUACAUUUGUUGCAUGGGCAAAGUUUCAUAAAAAUCGAUGCUCUAUCAACAAUUUUAUAGUCGAACCAUGUAUUGGGACUGACCGUGAUUUUAGCCCCUCAGACAGCAAUUGGUCAGCACCCUUUAUUGUUUCUAUUGUACAAUCGAAAGUGCUAUACUAUUAAUCAUCAAAUUUUGCAGGCAUAAUAUACACUUAACCAACCAACUAGGGUAUCGGGAUGCUUCGUUGGCAUAGCCCCCUCAUUCGGCCUAUAUCAAUGUAAACCAAAAACUCAAACAAACACGCAUAACUAAAUAUCGGAAAAGCUAUGCGCCAAACAACUGUAACAUUUCGUUUCAAUUUUAGCACUUUGGAGCAUUAAAAUUGAAUGAAAAUGUCACUUUAUUUAACUUUUGUAGACGCCAUGAUUCUUCGGCUUAGUGGGUAGUCUAUACACAUGAUCAUAAAUGGCAUGAUUCUGGAACAUUUCGAAAUGACUUUUCAAUAACUGAACAUUUGAUGGGACGGUCAAAGACGCUAUUUUGAACUUGUGUAUUUGUUUUCAACGAAUAAUAACUAUUUUACAAAUUGAAUGUGGGCCGAAUAUUGAGGACAUUUUUUUCACUAUGUACCCAAAUCUUGGCCCAUCAGUAAAAUGACGUCAAAAACAACGAUAAAAAGACGUCAACAACAUUUCUUGCGUAAGAACCAGAAAGAACGAACAGGAAGAAAGAUUUUGUGUACGGUGACUGUAAAAAUAUAACACAAUAAUAGGGUUGCGUUGUUUUCGUUACUAGAUUAAGAAUGAAUUUUAGUUAAAGUGAUUUAUUUAUAGUUUUUUUGAAAAUUUGGCUCCGAAUAUGUAAUUUGAAAGUAAGAUUGGUGAAUAAACAGAGAUAAUACUUCAGCAGAAAUAUUGAAAAAAUAAGAUUAUUAGUGGUUCUAGUGCAUGGAAAGCAAUAGGCCAACGUUGUAUCCACUAAUAGGCCAAUUUUUGUACCAUAGACCAGGGGUUUUCAGACAUUUCGGCUCGCGGUGCACUUUUUGAAAAUAAAUCGCUCCAUGGUGCACAAGUUCAUUAUUGGUAACAAAAAAAAAAAACAAUUAUAAAUUCGUCAAAAAGCUGUCGUAUUUUUCACAGCAUUUCCAAGGUGAAUUAUGGCACUGUCUUACGUUUUUCAAGUGACAUAGUUAUUCAACUUGGAAUAUUUCUUGCUCAGAAUGUUUCUGAAAACUUACAGACAUGAUCUUUAUAAACGCUGAAUGAAAUCUUGAGCUGAACUAGUGGUAUUUUGUUUUCAAGAACCUCGGGGAAGUCCUUUGAAAACUACUAUAUUAUUUCUUGUGUGGUUUUUUGAUAGACAUUCUUCCAAGACUUUUACCAUAUUUCUUAAAAAUUUCUAGCAAGGCACUUGGAUUAUUUUAUUUUAUUUGGUUUUUUUUUCAGAACUUUGGCAUAUAUCGACAAUAUUUUUGAUAAAUUCCUUCCAGGCUCUCUUGUCAAUUCGGAAGGAGAUUUCUAUGAAAAUCAUAAAUACGUUAUCAGUAGAAUUCUUGGUUAACUGAUUUCGAGAACAGUGAUAGUUCCUUCUCUGAUAUUAAGCAAAGCCACAGAAAUAUUAGUAAGAUUUCUUCUGAGAUUUUUUAACGCAUUCAUUGAAGAUACAUUGGAGAUGCCUUGUAGGGUGCUUGUAAAUAUACAUUAUGAGAUCUUGGAAAAAAAGAAUAAUAUUUCUUAGGAGAGUUUUGGCCAAGAUUUUGGCAGAUUUGUUCCAUGAUUCUUUACGAAUAUCUGAGACGGUUUUAGCUGGAUCCGAGUUUAACUCGCCGGCUGGAAUAAUGGAAAUUUUAUUCUCAAGGAGUCCAGUUGUUCUAAUUAAUUCGAAAUAUUUUUCAUGACAUAGGUAAUGAAUUUAAAUUUUAAUUUUAAUAUGCAAGACUCCAGUUAGCCUAGUGGUUAAGGCUAUGGAUCGCCAAUCCGGAGACGGCGGGUUCGAUUCCCGUUCCGGUCGGGAAAAAUUUCUCGACUCCCUGGGCAUAGUAUAUCAUUGUGCUUGCCACACAAUAUACUAAUUCAUGCAAUGGCUGGCAAAGAAAGCCCUCCAAUUAAUAACUGUGGAAGUGCUCAAAGAACACUAAGUUAGAGAGAGGCAGGCCAAGUCUCAGUGGAGAUGUAGAGCCAUAAAGAAGAAGAAGAAGAUGCAAGACUUUUCUGAAGUGCUGCGGUGCACUUGCCAUGGCUUCGCGGUGCACCAAGUGCACCGCGGUGCACGAUCUGAAAACCGCUGCAUAGACCAACGUUGCAUACCAAGGCAUCGAAUCUUUUCAGCUUAAUUAAGUAAAUUCUUGAAUAUUUACGUAAGUUUACUUCCAAUUGGUGAAACAUGCAUUGCCUGGAGUGUGUAAUAGGGUCAACAUAUUAUUUUUAGUGCUAUUAAUUCAUGAGUUAUGGGCAAAAUUGUCAAGGCGGCUUGCAAAUUAGGCCAAGGAAUGGUACACAUACCCUACCUUCUGUUAACAUUUCAUGAAAAUUGACAGAUAAAUUCAAAAAUUAUGAAAAGGCAAACAUCGCACUUGGAAAACACGAAAAAUUUUCACCAACACUCACACCUAUCAACACCAGUAGCUUUCAAACCAAUUGAUAAAAGUUGAUGAAAUUUUGCAAAAAAGUGUCUCUAUAAGUAUUAUAACUGCUGUCGAUAUUUCAUAAUUAUCAUCACAGAACUUUGAACUGUAGCGUAAAAGAACCAUCUAUUAUGCUAAUGAAAUUUGGUCAUGAUUGUACGAAAUGCUUAAAACCACGUCUGUUUGUUUUUCAUCCACAGUUAAAAAUAAUGCAUCGAUUUUUAUGAAAUUUGGCACAAACAACAAACAUACACCAAAGAGUUCUCAGUCAAUUAUUUGGCCAAUUUUACCGAUUUAUUACAGAGCUACAGCCGUACUUCUGUGUCCCGAUUGUUGCGGAUACAGGCUUUAGUCUUGAAUUUUACAAGAAAUAAUCCAAUUAUUUCUACGGAAAUUAUUCAUUACAAUGUGUCACAAGUUUCUAACGGUUUGAUUUUUACUGAAAUUUCCAAUAAGGACUCUCAUUUUUUUUAAAACCUCGCAUGAAAAUUUUAAUGAAAAUAACAAACAAAAAAAUGCCUGUGAGAAAUGCAAUGCCUAAGAACCUGCAGGAAACUCAAACUUAUGAGUUUAGUUGACAAAUUUCUCGCAUCAUCGUGAAAAAUAUUUGAAAUGAACUGCAUGCGAACCAUUAAAGAUCGUUGUAAGAAAAAGUUUUCCUAAAAUUUUGCAAGCCUUUGGCUUUAAAUUUCAGCUUCUCUACUUUUAAUCGUAAUAAAAAACCAUCCUUUAUCGAGUAAACCCAUGCCAAGACGACGAGGCUCCAGGCAGAGGGAUAAAGCGAAUAAGAAAAUCCCACGCCUUGUACCAUUGGAGAAGGCAAAUGCGUGCAUCAUAUCGUCUUUUCCAUCGUCGUCGUAAGAAAAGCGUUCACCCAUCGCGCAAAGAUUUAAUAGUUAAUGUACAAACAUUUUUCUUUCCAUUUUGCUCCUGGUGUGUACUCGUUUUCGCAUACGAUUACCGAUGCCCUAAAGCUCCAACUCCAGUCGCUGCUUGCUGCAUGCAGUUCAUUCCAUUGCCGCCAAUCGCACGGGGUGGUAGGUGUGAGUAAAGUGAGUUCACCUGAAGAAUGUUCACACACGUAUCGCCAUCGUUGGUACCAGGCCAAGAUGUUCCUACCUGGCUGCAAGAAUUAUGAUCGUUUUUUUUUUCAGGCUGCCAGAGCAGACUGAGGACACACCAGAUACGGUAUCACUGCGUGUAAACGCAGUAAACCACCUGAAGUUGGAGCGAGCUGUCUGGCGGUAGGUAGGAUCAAGAAAGGUUGAGCUUAUCAUUGGGUGAAUCCUCCAGCCGGAUCCUCGUUGGUGCUGCUUGCUGUUGUCGGCAAGGAUAAAGUUGGUUAAGGUAUACACUGCCAAAGUAUGGCACUUGCAAGAUAUAAGUGAAGCCACCCGUCAUCGCACCGUUGCACAGUGAGAUCAAGCCAAGAAAGCCGAACCCCAAAUUCCCUACAUAUUUCAGUAUUGAGGCCUGAUUUUCGGUUUCGACUGUGUUGAAAUUCAAUGAGAGAAUGGCAUUUUAGUCCUGACAAUAUACAAAACUGCUAUUUAAAAAGACACGGAAACGUUUAGUACUUCCAGUGAGCUAUUCGCUCUUUGAAGGAAGCACGACACUAGACAACGGCAGGGGCGUACAAUUUCGUUUCAAUGAUACACUUUCAUGCAACAUUUGAAUGAGUCACUUCAAGCGUUUCAUACAUUUUUCUAAUGACUCGGUCGUUAAAAAAAACUUUUCCACUCAUCGUAGCACUCGGUAGUCUCCCACCCGGUCGCAUUGCUUGUGCUUCACCCGUCAGAGCAUUAGUGUCUCACUGGUGCGCGCUAGUCUCUCAAUGGUUACGGGCGCCGGUUAAUUGGAUUUAAGUGGUCGAAUUUGUUAUCCUCUUUCAUAAAACAUAAUUAUCAUUCUAUUGGCGUGCACCACUAUUUAAAAAUGUGGUUUAAAUAGUGUUUUAGCAUGUUGAAGUAUUUCAAUGACUCAUAACUGAAACGAAAAUCCAAGUGUAUCAUCCCAUGUUUCAUACACACUUGCUUCUGUAGCAGCAACGAACGAGUGUGUUGCUGGGUAAAAGAUGAAGCAUCACAGCAGUCCGUUCGCAUGGGAAACGAUUUGCUACAGUCGUCGUACGUCAUGUUUUCCUUUCGAAAUUGCACGACCCUGGACAACGGACUAGCAUGCAACGCCCUGUGGCACAGCUGAAAACUUCUCCUGACAGCUGCGGCGGAAAUCGAACCCGCGCUCCUAGCAUGAUGCGACUAAAUGCUUGGUGACACUAGCCGCACGACCACGAAGCCACACGUCUGACGUUUUGGUCACGUUUCGGAUCGUCCUUAGGGGCUCGUUUAUCACAGGUUCUUCGUCCAGAAUGUCCUAUUGGACUUUUUUUGUUCAACAGAACCUACUGGACGCAGAAUCUUUGAAAGAUGAGUCGCUGAGGAGGGCCCCAAUUGUGACCGAAACGUCGAACAAGAUUAAAUGGUAAUACAGUAGACGUUCGGUCGGUGCAAACGGUUUAACUGCAACGCUUUUUAACUGCAAGUUCGGUAAGUGCAACAAAUUUGCAGUUAUUGCACCGCUAAAUGUCAGAACGGUGCACCAUGUUAGCCCAAAUGAACAGUCGGAUGAAGUUCACGUUCAUUUAACGUCUGUUUUUUGACACUGUCAGGCGUUGCAGUUAUCGGAUUUUCGUUCGAUAAGUGAAACGUAAACAUGUUGCAGUUAUCGAACGUCUACUGUAUUUGAAUUUUGUCUAUAGUUUGAAACAACCAUUUUCACAUUAAAUAGAGCUUUGGGUAUGACAUCUUAAACUCUAUAAGGGACAUCAAGGUUUUCUUUCCGCGUAUUGUCGGAAACUUCUAUGUAUCGUAAUUUACAUCUUAAACAUGGCUUGUUAAUCCUCCUAAACAAACAAGAAAACGAGAAGAACGAAAAGAGGGACUAUUCGUCCAGGCUUUUACUCCACUAUUUCUCAUGUGUGAUUAGGAGAGUAAGGAAGAAAAAAGAAAAAGCAGGCUACGCCUAUAUGCUACAGUAAGAUCCCGAUUUUGUCGGCCCAAUUUCGCAACAAGUCUCGUUAUUUUACGGUCAGUUUUUAACCAAAUAAUUCGUGUUUAUCAUCAAACUACAACUUAAAUGCCGAACAUAGAGUGAUAAAAAUUUAAAAAAAACUGUUCAGGUUUCCGAGGAGAUCAAAUAAUGUGAUAUGCAAAGAGGCUGACAAAAUCGGGUAUUGAUAAAUUGAAAAUUUAAUCUACAUCCCAUGUGAGUAUUCCCAUUUUUGCAAAAGUGUAUCAUAACACUCUGUGAGUGCAAAAUCUUCCAUGGAUUGAUUAAGAAAAUCAUCAAAAAAGAAAAAAUAAACAUUACACGGAUAUCAUCUUAAAAUUAUCUGGGAGAUAACUUCGGACAUUCCACCAGGGAUUCUUUCAGAUAUUUUUCCCGAAAUUCUCCCAAAAAUUUACUCUGCUGAUUCCCUCAAAGCUUCUUCCACGAUUUCAUUUAAAAUUCCGAAUGGCUUUAGAUUUUAUUCAAAAGAUUUCCGCAAAUUCACUUCAAGGAGUAUUUUUUUAAUUUUUUAAAAUAAAGCAUCUUUCAAAAACCUUGGGAGAUUCCACAAAAGAUUCUUCUGGAAGUUCUUGAGAAACUUUACCAAAAAAUGCUUCAUAAAUGCCUCCAGGGAUACUUACGAAAAAUUGUGCACCCUUAAAAGAUUUUCAUAAGAAUUUAUAAAGUAUCCUCCUUUCAAAAUUUUUACUAGAUAUUUAUUCUGAAAUUUCUCCAUGGAUUUUUGAAGAAUAUACUCUCGAGAUUCCUGCAAAAGCUCUUUCAAGGUUUAGACGUUUUUAUGUAAGGUCUUUCCAGAAGAUCUUUUAGAUUUUUUUUCAAGGAUUACUAAAGAAAUUCCCCUUAUGGAUUAUUUCAAAAACAUCUUCUAAAGGUUCCUUCAGGAGUUUUUCUCAAGCAUUGUUUAAAAAACUCCUUCAGGAAUUCUCCCAGACAUUUGCAGGAGAUUCCUCAGAAAUAUAACUAGAAUUUUUUUUUAAUUUCAUGGAAUCUAUAAUAAAUUCGUACAUUGAUGAUUUUUUUUUCAGAAAUUCCUCUUCGCGAAAUUUGAAAAUCUUCCAUAGCAUUUAAAAAAAAUCCAUCAGAAAUUCCAGAAGAAACUUUCACGUUUUUUUUAAUUUGUAAAAAAACUUCUUUUUUUCACCUAGGGUUUGUUUAAGGAAUUUCUCCCACAGAUUCGUACAGAAAUUUCUGCAAUCCUUUCAAAAUUCGCUACAAAGACUGUUGUAUAAAUUCCUCCAGAAUUGUUUUCAGAAAUUCCGCUGAGAAUCCUCGAAAAAUUUUUCAAUGAGUUCCUAGUGAAUUUUUUAAAGAUAUUAUUCCAGACAUUUAUUUUGAAAUUGCCCAAAUUAUUUUUAUAAUUGGUGAAAAAUUCCUUUAAUAUUUCAAAAAUAUCUCUUAUAUUUUAAUGAAAUAUUGCUGAAUUUCCAUGAAAUUCUUCUCAGAUUCUUUCAAAGAUUUUCUGAACAUAUUAAUGAAUAUCUUUAUCAUCGAGACAUUUAACCAGUGGUUGGUUCAUUUUAGAUUUUUUAAAUGAUUUUUUAAAGGGAUUCCUCCAGGAUUUUUUUUUCGAAAAUUCCUUCCGAUAUUUCACCAGCAAUUUCUGCUGAUAUUUUUUUGGGAAAAUCCUGCAGAGAUUCCUACCAAGACUAUUCCAUGGGCUUUUGCAAAAAUGCUCUAUGUAUUUUUAUUUUUUUUUUUUUGAAAAGUUCAUCAAGGAUUAUUUUAGAAAUUCUUCACAUACUAUUAAACAACACAUUCACGGGUUCACUCUGCAAUUUUUGAGGGAUUGCUUAAGGAAUAUCUCAAGAGAUUACCCAAGAAAAAAAACUUGGAAUUCUUUAGAAUAUCUUGCAUGGAUUGUAUCAUAAAUUCUUCCAUAAGAUUAUUAAAAAGUUUCCUUUAGAAAUUCCUCUGAAUUUUUCACAACUUCUUCCAAGGAUCAGAUCUGAAAAUUGCUCCAAAGAUUGUUUCAGAUAUUCCAGCAGGGAUUACUUGAGAAAUUCUACCAGUUAUUUAACGAGAAAUUUAACAAAAAAAAAUAUUUAAAAGGAUUUUCAAAAAAAUUGAAAAAUAUAUUUAGAGGAAUAUCUGGAAGAAUCAAAGACUUUCUCAGGAACUCCUCUAAAUAUUUAUUCAAAAAUUUCUCCAGAAGCUUGGGUGCUUCCAAAAAUUUCUCUUAAAUAAUUUAUUCAUAAUUAUUCCUGAUUCCUGAAUUUAUUCCUGAUUUUUUUUGUAGAAAAUUCUUUUGAUAUGUCUACAGAAACUCAUCCAUGCCACGAGUUAAAGAAAAGUUCCAUCAAUUCCUCCAGUUUGAGUCCAAAGACUGCUCGAGAAAUUCCAUCACGGAAUAUUUAAAAAUCUUCCGAGGAUUCAUUCGGGAAUAUUCUUCAGAGAUUUGCUUUAAAACGCUUCCAAAGAUUUUCCAAAGGAGUUGCAUUUAAGACUCCACUUAAGGACAAGGUAUUUGGAGAACAUAGCUCAAAAAAACGGUGCUCUAGAAAAUUUGAGCUAUGUACUCCAAAUACCUUUCAUUCUACAAUAAUUAUUUUUGAAAAACUUACACGGAUUGUAUCAAAAAUUAUUGCAUGAGUUUAUAUAAAGACUUCCUCAGAAAUUUCUCUUUGUUUUCUCCAGAAAUUUCUCAGGUGAUUACUAUGAAAAAAACUUCAAAAAUGUCUAAAGAAACAUUCGCUAUUUUUUCAGAGUCUUCCAAAAAUUCCUUCUAAUAUUUACUCAGGGAUUGCUAUGGAUUUUUUCACGUAUUCCUACGGAAAUUUCUGCAACAAUUCUUCCACGGAUCCUUCUAAAAUUCUCCCAAGAAUUCUUUUUGAAAACUGCUUCAAAACUUUCUCAAGAGAUCUCUUAGUACAAAUAAAAUAAAUAACUUCAAUAAUUCAAACAUAACUACGGGCAUACCUCUGGGGAUUCACGUAGAAAUAUCUACAAGAAAUUUCCCUGAAAUUCUUCUGAGAGUCCUUUACGGAGUCCAACAGGAUAUGUCUUUGGAUUUUUUUUUUCAGAAGUUGCCCUUGCGAUUCUUCUUGAAGUUUCCAGAAAGAUUUUUCAGAUAUCUUCUGAUUUCUUCAGGAAUAACUCCAUGGAUUCUCUUUGAAAAUCCAACGAUUUCUCAAAAAGUUGCUUUCAGGAAGUUUUCCAAAGAUUUAUUCAAAAAUAUCUUCAACUAUGUCAUUGGAAAAUUUCCCAGGAAUUCUUAAAGAAUUUCCACCAGUAAGCCUUGCAGAAAAUCUUGCGAGGAUUAUUUUUUAAAUUUCUUGAGAAAUUAUUUCAAUAAAUCCUUUGAAAAUUCAUUUGUAAAUUUUCUCCUGGGUUUACUCAAUGAUUUUUUGUAUAUGAAAUACCUUCAGGGUUUCUGGCUCCAGAUAUUUCUUCAAAAUGUUUCUAUAGAUCUCUUUUGGGCAUUCGUAAAGAAUUCCUUCAAUAUUUCAAAAAAAUCUAUCAAAAAUUCUGAACAUGAUAGAGAUUUUUUCAUGGAUUCCCGCUGAAAUUCACCCAGGAAUUCCUUCACGGACUCCAAAAAAAAACUGAUUUAUUUCUAAAAGGAUUGUUUAAGAGAGAAAUUUCUCGAAGGAUUCUUUGGAAAAUCCUUCCCUUGAUUUCUUCAGGAAUUACUCCACGGGUUCUUUUCGAAAACCCAGCGAUUUCUCGGAAAUUUCGAAAAAGUGUCUUUGAGGAAGUUUGUAGGAAAUUUCUAUAAAAAUAUCUCCAAGUACUCCUAUGGGAAAUUUUUCAAUAAUUCCUCCAGGGAUUCUUUCAAAAAACUCUUGCAAGGAUUCAUUGGAAUAUUUCGUCCAAGAAUUCCUCUGUAAAACUUUUUUUUUCAAAUAUUUUUUUUUUUUUUAUUUUCCAGAGGUCUAUUUUGGAAUUCUAUAAAAAAUUCCUUCAAUUCUUCAAAAGAAAAUAUUUACAAACAUUUCUUUGGUAAAUCCUGUUCAUAUUUUUCCAACGAUUCUUCAGUAAUUCACCCAGGAACGGAUUACUAGGAAUAAUUUGGAAAUUUUCUUCAAGGAAUGUUUAAAAAAUUCCAGGUAUGAUAUUUUUUUGAAAAAUUCCCCAUCAGAAAUUUUUUGAAGGAUUCCUUUAGAAAACUUUGAUUUCUUCGGGGAUCCAUAGAAUUUAGUGCUCAAUUACAAAAUUCCCCGUGGAUUCUUGAUAAAAAUCAUCCAGCAGAAAAUCUUGCUAGGUUUCUUUCAAAAUUAUUCCAGAUUAUUUCAGAGAUACAUUGGCAAAUUUUUCCAGCUAUUUUUCUGGCGUUCCUUUCAAAAAAUUCUUGGUUGAUUUUCCAUGGAUAGUUUCAUAAAUUUCACAAAUUAUUUUCAAAAUUCUUCCUUAGAUUUACUUAAUGAUUCAUUUAGAAAAUUGCUUCGGAAAAACCUUCGGAACCUUACAGCGACUUUAUUUUAGAAAUUAUAUUAUCAUUCCAAGUGAAAUUCUUGCAGAAAUUGUUUUUUAAAUCAUGCAUUAAUUUCUCCAGAAGUGCCCCAAACUUUUUUCUAGGAAAUUUUCCAAAUUUAGGCAUUUCUCCAAAUUCCUCAGGGAUGCCAUAAAAAAUUGAAAAGCGAUACUUUAACAAAAUCAUCUAGGAAUUUCUUCAGAAUUUUCUCCAAGGAUUCCCUCAAAACUUCUUCCUGAGAUUUAUCAAUUGAACUUCUUCAAUAACUCUUGUAGAAAGUCUUCCAUAAAUUGCUUCCUAAAUUACAAGAAGGUUUUCUUUGAAAAAGUUUCCAGAAUUUACUUUCAGGCUGUGAUUCAAAGAGUCCUUCAAAAAACUUUCAAGAAUGGUAUAAUAAAAUCGUGUGAAAUUACUCCAACACUACUCCAUGAGAUUCUUCAUAAAUUUAUCCACAAUUUCCUUCAGAAAUUUCUUCAAGGAUUCCUCUUGAGAGCCUCGCAUGGAAAUCUUCAGAAAAUCAAACAUGAACUCUUAUGAAAAUUCCUCCUUUAGAAAAUCGAAGUCAGAUAUCAAAAUUCCUUCGGUAAAUUCUUCGGGAAAUAUCAGAAUUCCUUCAGAAAUUUGUCUAAAGAUUCAUUCCGAAAUUCAGAAAAAAAAUCAAAUUAGUGAAGAAGACUUAUUCAGAUAUGUUUUGGGAGUUUCUCCAUAAAUUUUCAGAAUAAUUCCUGUAGAAAUUCUUCAAGGAAAUCCUUCAGAAAUUUGUUCCAGUGAUUGUUUUAGAGACUCUUCCAAAAAUUCUUUCGAAAGUUCACACACCGGUUUCUUCAAAAUUUCUUCCAGGGAUUCCUCCAGGAACUCGUACAGCAAUUCUUCCAACUCUACUGGUGAUUAUUUUAAGAAUUUCGCCAUGUUUUGCACAGGAAAUUCCCAAAAGAUUGUAUCCAGGAUUUUUUUUUUUCAGAUCCCUUCAAAGAUACUUGCAUUAGUAUAGAGCAGUGAAUCAAAAUUCAACCAUCGCGCAACAAUAAUGACAAUGUCGCAACCUGUAUUUGUUGCGACAAAACAACACAUGCGACAUAAGUUUGUCCCAACUUGAAAAAAAUGGGAUCAACAUCGUACACCACGAGUUUAGAGAUUUUUAAGCCUUGCAUUUCGAUUUUCGAACGGUAACUUCGAGUCGGUAAAUACUACAACUCUGAUGAAGAUCUAUCAUCAAACAGUUUCGACUUUGGGUUAGUAAUAAUUGAUUAUUCACAAGUUGAAAAGUACGCAACAAAUUCAGCUUCCGUUUUGUCUGCAACAAAAAAUUUCGAGAUCAUAUCAUUAUCUGUUACCAGUAGCGAUAAAGAGUAAUCGUCGCACCUUCUUUGUUGUUUGUUUUGUGCCUCUUUUGUCUGACAAUUCUCUUCACUGGUAUAGAGGUAGUUCAGCGGGAUUCCUGCAGAACUUAUAAAAAAAUAUCUUGGAGAAUCCCUCUGGAUAUUUUUCUUUGUAUUUUCUCAGUACUUCUUCCGAUAUUUUUUCCAAGAACAACACUGGCAAAGUUUCCACGAAUUCUAAUUUUUACAGGACCCCCUUCAGAUUUUUAUCCCGGAGGGUUCUUAGGUAUUUACAGAGGUUGUUCCAUUCGUUCCUACAGUUAUUCCUCCAGAUAACCCCCCUGAAAUUUAAUUGGGAGACUUUUUUAUUAACUGUUCUAGAAAUAUCUCAAGAGAUUAUUUUAAGAAUUCCACCAGGGGUUUCCCAAACAGUU
Molecule: long non-coding RNA, 29020 nt
Organism: Aedes albopictus (Asian tiger mosquito)
Lineage: Eukaryota; Metazoa; Arthropoda; Insecta; Diptera; Culicidae
Exons: 2
Source: RefSeq, a predicted model, not a curated record